RNAcentral lists this ribosomal RNA (699 nucleotides) under uncultured Bacteroidales bacterium. Its description in RNAcentral is "bacterial SSU rRNA". It matches the Rfam family "Bacterial small subunit ribosomal RNA", at positions 77 to 772 of the family's 1533-position model. The record is from RNAcentral. Lineage: Bacteria; Pseudomonadati; Bacteroidota; Bacteroidia; Bacteroidales.
UAGCAAUAGUAAAGAUGGCGACCGGCGCACGGGUGAGUAACACGUAUCCAACCUGCCGAUAACUCGGGGAUAGCCUUUCGAAAGAAAGAUUAAUAUCCGAUAGUAUAUUUUCUCCGCAUGGCGAGAAUAUUAAAGAAUUUCGGUUAUCGAUGGGGAUGCGUUCCAUUAGGCAGUUGGUGAGGUAACGGCUCACCAAACCUUCGAUGGAUAGGGGUUCUGAGAGGAAGGUCCCCCACAUUGGAACUGAGACACGGUCCAAACUCCUACGGGAGGCAGCAGUGAGGAAUAUUGGUCAAUGGGCGCGAGCCUGAACCAGCCAAGUAGCGUGAGGGAUGAAGGCUCUAUGGGUCGUAAACCUCUUUUAUAUGGGAAUAAAGUUUUCCACGUGUGGAAUUUUGUAUGUACCAUAUGAAUAAGGAUCGGCUAACUCCGUGCCAGCAGCCGCGGUAAUACGGAGGAUCCGAGCGUUAUCCGGAUUUAUUGGGUUUAAAGGGAGCGUAGGUGGAUUGUUAAGUCAGUUGUGAAAGUUUGCGGCUCAACCGUAAAAUUGCAGUUGAAACUGGCAGUCUUGAGUACAGUAGAGGUGGGCGGAAUUCGUGGUGUAGCGGUGAAAUGCUUAGAUAUCACGAAGAACUCCGAUUGCGAAGGCAGCUCACUAGACUGUCACUGACACUGAUGCUCGAAAGUGUGGGUAUCAAA